Paramuricea clavata is the source of this 78-nucleotide non-coding RNA. Lineage: Eukaryota; Metazoa; Cnidaria; Anthozoa; Malacalcyonacea; Plexauridae. The record is from the annotation of a GenBank genome assembly.
UAGUUUUACAUGUUCUUUUAGACUGAAAUCCAGGCUUAAGCUUAAGCCUGGAUUUCAGUCUAAAAGAACAUGUAAAAC